RNAcentral lists this ribosomal RNA (119 nucleotides) under Amphilophus citrinellus (Midas cichlid). Lineage: Eukaryota; Metazoa; Chordata; Actinopteri; Cichliformes; Cichlidae. The record is from RNAcentral.
GUUUACAGCCGUACCACUUUGAGCACGCCCAGUCUUGUCAGCUCUCAGAAGCCAGGCAGGGUCAGGCCUGGUUAGUACUUGGAUACGAGACUGCCUGGGAAUACCAGGUGCGGUGUGGU